GAUGAACGCUGGCGGCGUGCCUAAUACAUGCAAGUCGAGCGAACAGACAAGGAGCUUGCUCCUUUGACGUUAGCGGCGGACGGGUGAGUAACACGUGGGUAACCUACCUAUAAGACUGGGAUAACUUCGGGAAACCGGAGCUAAUACCGGAUAAUAUUUCGAACCGCAUGGUUCGAUAGUGAAAGAUGGUUUUGCUAUCACUUAUAGAUGGAUCCGCGCCGUAUUAGCUAGUUGGUAAGGUAACGGCUUACCAAGGCGACGAUACGCAGCCGACCUGAGAGGGUGAUCGGCCACACUGGAACUGAGACACGGUCCAGACUCCUACGGGAGGCAGCAGUAGGGAAUCUUCCGCAAUGGGCGAAAGCCUGACGGAGCAACGCCGCGUGAGUGAUGAAGGUCUUCGGAUCGUAAAACUCUGUUAUUAGGGAAGAACAUACAUGUAAGUAACUAUGCACGUCUUGACGGUACCUAAUCAGAAAGCCACGGCUAACUACGUGCCAGCAGCCGCGGUAAUACGUAGGUGGCAAGCGUUAUCCGGAAUUAUUGGGCGUAAAGCGCGCGUAGGCGGUUUUUUAAGUCUGAUGUGAAAGCCCACAGCUCAACCGUGGAGGGUCAUUGGAAACUGGAAAACUUGAGUGCAGAAGAGGAAAGUGGAAUUCCAUGUGUAGCGGUGAAAUGCGCAGAGAUAUGGAGGAACACCAGUGGCGAAGGCGACUUUCUGGUCUGUAACUGACACUGAUGUGCGAAAGCGUGGGGAUCAAACAGGAUUAGAUACCCUGGUAGUCCACGCCGUAAACGAUGAGUGCUAAGUGUUAGGGGGUUUCCGCCCCUUAGUGCUGCAGCUAACGCAUUAAGCACUCCGCCUGGGGAGUACGACCGCAAGGUUGAAACUCAAAGGAAUUGACGGGGACCCGCACAAGCGGUGGAGCAUGUGGUUUAAUUCGAAGCAACGCGAAGAACCUUACCAAAUCUUGACAUCCUUUGACAACUCUAGAGAUAGAGCCUUCCCCUUCGGGGGACAAAGUGACAGGUGGUGCAUGGUUGUCGUCAGCUCGUGUCGUGAGAUGUUGGGUUAAGUCCCGCAACGAGCGCAACCCUUAAGCUUAGUUGCCAUCAUUAAGUUGGGCACUCUAAGUUGACUGCCGGUGACAAACCGGAGGAAGGUGGGGAUGACGUCAAAUCAUCAUGCCCCUUAUGAUUUGGGCUACACACGUGCUACAAUGGACAAUACAAAGGGCAGCGAAGCCGCGAGGUCAAGCAAAUCCCAUAAAGUUGUUCUCAGUUCGGAUUGUAGUCUGCAACUCGACUACAUGAAGCUGGAAUCGCUAGUAAUCGUAGAUCAGCAUGCUACGGUGAAUACGUUCCCGGGUCU
Molecule: ribosomal RNA, 1372 nt
Filed under: uncultured bacterium
Lineage: Bacteria
Description: bacterial SSU rRNA
Rfam family: Bacterial small subunit ribosomal RNA
Source: RNAcentral